RNAcentral lists this ribosomal RNA (253 nucleotides) under uncultured bacterium. Its description in RNAcentral is "partial 16S ribosomal RNA". It matches the Rfam family "Bacterial small subunit ribosomal RNA", at positions 524 to 776 of the family's 1533-position model. The record is from RNAcentral. RNAcentral also lists the same sequence under 1 other name.
UACAGAGGUCUCAAGCGUUGUUCGGAUUCAUUGGGCGUAAAGGGUGCGUAGGCGGCGCGGUAAGUCGGGUGUGAAAUCUCGGGGCUUAACUCCGAAACUGCAUUCGAUACUGCCGUGCUUGAGGACUGGAGAGGAGACUGGAAUUUACGGUGUAGCGGUGAAAUGCGUAGAUAUCGUAAGGAAGACCAGUGGCGAAGGCGGGUCUCUGGGCCGAUACUGACGCUGAGGAGCGAAAGCGUGGGGAGCAAACAGG